UACGAAGGGGGCUAGCGUUGCUCGGAAUCACUGGGCGUAAAGGGUGCGUAGGCGGGUCUUUAAGUCAGGGGUGAAAUCCUGGAGCUCAACUCCAGAACUGCCUUUGAUACUGAAGAUCUUGAGUUCGGGAGAGGUGAGUGGAACUGCGAGUGUAGAGGUGAAAUUCGUAGAUAUUCGCAAGAACACCAGUGGCGAAGGCGGCUCACUGGCCCGAUACUGACGCUGAGGUGGCGAAAAGCGUGGGGAGCAAACAGG
This 255-nucleotide ribosomal RNA is filed under the name uncultured bacterium. RNAcentral describes it as "partial 16S ribosomal RNA". It matches the Rfam family "Bacterial small subunit ribosomal RNA", at positions 524 to 776 of the family's 1533-position model. The record is from RNAcentral.